UACGAAGGGGGCUAGCGUUACUCGGAUUGACUGGGCGUAAAGGGCGCGUAGGCGGAUGGUACAGUCAGACGUGAAAUUCCUGGGCUCAACCUGGGGGCUGCGUUUGAUACGUGCUGUCUGGAGCUCGGAAGAGGGUCGUGGAAUUCCCAGUGUAGAGGUGAAAUUCGUAGAUAUUGGGAAGAACACCGGUGGCGAAGGCGGCGACCUGGUCCGAUACUGACGCUGAGGCGCGAAAGCGUGGGGAGCAAACAGG
This 253-nucleotide ribosomal RNA is filed under the name uncultured bacterium. RNAcentral's name for it is "partial 16S ribosomal RNA". It matches the Rfam family "Bacterial small subunit ribosomal RNA", at positions 524 to 776 of the family's 1533-position model. The record is from RNAcentral.